This 467-nucleotide ribosomal RNA is filed under the name uncultured bacterium. Its description in RNAcentral is "partial 16S ribosomal RNA". It matches the Rfam family "Bacterial small subunit ribosomal RNA", at positions 28 to 507 of the family's 1533-position model. The record is from RNAcentral.
GACGAACGCUGGCGGCGUGCUUAACAUAUGCAAGUCGAACGGAAAGGCCCUGCUUUUGUGGGGUGCUCGAGUGGCGAACGGGUGAGUAACACGUGAGUAACCUGCCCUUGACUUUGGGAUAACUUCAGGAAACUGGGGCUAUACCGGAUAGGAGCUCCUGCUGCAUGGUGGGGGUUGGAAAGUUUCGGCGGUUGGGGAUGGACUCGCGGCUUAUCAGCUUGUUGGUGGGGUAGUGGCUUACCAAGGCUUUGACGGGUAGCCGGCCUGAGAGGGUGACCGGGCACAUUGGGACUGAGAUACGGACCAGAGUGCUACGGGAGGCAGCAGUGGGGAAUAUUGCACAAUGGGCGGAAGCCUGAUGAAGAAACGCCGCGUGCGGGAUGACGGCCUUCGGGUUGUAAACCGCUUUCGCCUGUGACGAAGCGUGAGUGACGGUAAUGGGUAAAGAAGCACCGGCUAACUACGUG